Molecule: small RNA, 4023 nt
Filed under: Pongo abelii (Sumatran orangutan)
Lineage: Eukaryota; Metazoa; Chordata; Mammalia; Primates; Hominidae
Description: processed transcript
Source: RNAcentral
GCUCCCUUCCAGCUUCAUGGGCAAAGUGUGGAAACAGCAGAUGUACCCUCAGUACGCCACCUACUAUUACCCCCAGUAUCUGCAAGCCAAGUUUGGAAGGCAUUCGGGCAUACCAAGUAAAAAGGAAGAGUGAAGAACAGAAAAAUGUUAGUGGGAUGGCAAACACUGUGAACAUUGCUGUUUCUAGUGGGCCAGAAAAAUCAGUCUCUGGUCCCAGCCCACCCCAUGGCCCCUCCCAGUCCUAGCACCACCAGCAGUAAUAACAACAGUAGCAGCAGUAGCAACUCAGGAUGGGAUCAGCUCAGCAAAACGAACCUCUAUAUCCGAGGACUGCCUCCCCACACCACCGACCAGGACCUGGUGAAGCUCUGUCAACCAUAUGGGAAAAUAGUCUCCACAAAGGCAAUUUUGGAUAAGACAACGAACAAAUGCAAAGGUUAUGGUUUUGUCGACUUUGACAGCCCUGCAGCAGCUCAAAAAGCUGUGUCUGCCCUGAAGGCCAGUGGGAUUCAAGCUCAAAUGGCAAAGCAACAGGAACAAGAUCCUACCAACCUCUACAUUUCUAAUUUGCCACUCUCCAUGGAUGAGCAAGAACUAGAAAAUAUGCUCAAACCAUUUGGACAAGUUAUUUCUACAAGGAUACUACGUGAUUCCAGUGGUACAAGUCGUGGUGUUGGCUUUGCUAGGAUGGAAUCAACAGAAAAAUGUGAAGCUGUUAUUGGUCAUUUUAAUGGAAAAUUUAUUAAGACACCACCAGGAGUUUCUGCCCCCACAGAACCUUUAUUGUGUAAGUUUGCUGAUGGAGGACAGAAAAAGAGACAGAACCCAAACAAAUACAUCCCUAAUGGAAGACCAUGGCAUAGAGAAGGAGAGGUGAGACUUGCUGGAAUGACACUUACUUACGACCCAACUACAGCUGCUAUACAGAACGGAUUUUAUCCUUCACCAUACAGUAUUGCUACAAACCGAAUGAUCACUCAAACUUCUAUUACACCCUAUAUUGCAUCUCCUGUAUCUGCCUACCAGGUGGCAAAGGAAACCAGAGAAAACAAGUAUCGGGGCUCUGCUAUCAAGGUGCAAAGUCCUUCUUGGAUGCAACCUCAACCAUAUAUUCUACAGCACCCCGGUGCCGUGUUAACUCCCUCAAUGGAGCACACCAUGUCACUACAGCCCGCAUCGAUGAUCAGCCCUCUGGCCCAGCAGAUGAGUCAUCUGUCACUAGGCAGCACCGGAACAUACAUGCCUGCAACGUCAGCUAUGCAAGGAGCCUACUUGCCACAGUAUGCACAUAUGCAGACGACAGCGGUUCCUGUUGAGGAGGCAAGUGGUCAACAGCAGGUGGCUGUCGAGACGUCUAAUGACCAUUCUCCAUAUACCUUUCAACCUAAUAAGUAACUGUGAGAUGUACAGAAAGGUGUUCCUACAUGAAGAAGGGUGUGAAGGCUGAACAAUCAUGGAUUUUUCUGAUCAAUUGUGCUUUAGGAAAUUAUUGACAGUUUUGCACAGGUUCUUGAAAACGUUAUUUAUAAUGAAAUCAACUAAAACUAUUUUUGCUAUAAGUUCUAUAAGGUGCAUAAAACCCUUAAAUUCAUCUAGUAGCUGUUCCCCCGAACAGGUUUAUUUUAGUAAAAAAAAAAAAACAAAAAACAAAAACAAAAGAUUUUUAUCAAAUGUUAUGAUGCAAAAAAAAAAAAAGAAAAAAAGAAAAAGAAAAAAAAGAAAGAAAAGAAAACUUCAAUUUUCUGGGUAUGCACAAAGACCAUGAAGACUUAUCCAAGUGCAUGACCGGAUUUUUGUGGUUUUGUUCAUUUUGUGUUUAAUUUGUGUGUUUUUUUUUUCCAGCUGUAUGAAAUGGGCUUUCUGAAGUUUAAAUAGUGCGACUUCACCCAUGGUGUUCUGUGCUUGCAGUGCGAGUGUUGCUGUAAUUCAGUGUUGCCGUCAGUGUCUCUUUUCUCAGCUUUCUGUCUUUCUUUCAACGUAGUGUGAAGUGUCUUAUCCUUUUCUAUGAAUUCCAAUUUGCCUUAACUCUUUUGAUGCUGUAGCUGUUUCAGUAAAAGUUAGUUCAAACUAAUGAUGUAGAAUGCUUUGACCAAAUGAGCUGGUCUAUUAUGCCUUGUAAAACAGCAGCAUAGGGCUUUUAAAAGGUAGUCAAUAAAAGUUGCUGAAAUUUUGGCUUUUUUAAAUAUGUAGUAGGUGUUUUUAAUGAUUUUUCACAUAAUGUGUAAGGUAGUGAAAUGCAAGAAGGGAAAAAUGUUUUGUGUGAAACACAUUUUCUGACUGGGGAACUUUUAUUAGGGUAAAUUGUUUGUAAGGCUGUACGCCAACAGUUUCCUCUGAUAGUUUGACUGAUUUAGGAUAUCUGCUGUAUGAUGCAAUGUAAAGUCUUUUGCCUUUUUUCAGGAAAAAAAAAAAAACUAACUUGAUGUACUAGAUUUAGUGUAGGUAGUGUUGGGGUUGGGGACGGGGGGGUAGGGGAGGGGAGUCACUGAAUGUUUUGUCCUUCCUUUAUACUAAUGAUAGUGCUUUAGAAUGAGAAUUAUGCCUGAAAUCUGGCAAAUCGAAAAAUGUUGCUAUUGCAACAAAGUGGCAAAAGCUAAAAGUAAGGAUUUAUCUUCAAACAUAAGCUGAGAUACGAAUAGAAGCAAAACGAUUGGCUACUAGCUCUCUCUCUCUCUAUUAGGUAAAUUUGAAAAAUAAAAAUGACUUGGCACUUUUAAAGGUAACUUCACCAAAGACCGAAGAGCCAGUAACCAGUAGCUCCAACUUGUCUCAGCAUCACAUCUUCUGUGCUCUUUAUUUUUGCCGGACCAGUUUGCGGUUAGGAGAAUGUGCCUUUUUUGUACCUUUGCAUUUAGGUUUUAUAAUUUUAAUUGAUGUAUGGACACACACAAACAAAAAAGCAUGAAGGAAGAUUUGGAUCCAAGCAGUGCCACACUUUACAUCAUCACUACAAGUGUUCAAGUGUAAAGAAAACCAAUUUUGAAACUAUGAAAUUCCUGAUUCAUAAAUACACAGUUAUUUCUACUUUAGUACAUAUAAGAUAAUUCACUGUUAUUAAAGCUCUUUUAUUAAGGCAAUUGCAUAUGUUUUAAAAGCAAUGGUAAAUUAAGUUGUCUUCCAAAACUGUGUACUUGUCUGGUCAGCUGUGUAUGAUCAGUUAUCUACCUCAGAGUCUAUUUUCUUUUGUGCUGGGACAGGUUGCUGGCCCUCCCUGUUUCCACAGACCAAAUCCUCCUAGCUCAGGAGCUAGGGCUAAGCAGUUAUUUCUUUCAAGUAUUUUUUAGUUCUUAAAUUUUAUGCUUGUAUUUGAUGACAGAUGUCAGUGACAUUUCAUAGUUUCAAAAGUCCUUGCUGCUCUGAGAAGUGUAGAUUCUAGUGAAAAUUACAUAGUCAUAAGAGAAAUGUGUUUUUGUUUUUGUUUUUGUUUCAUUUUUUAAAGUUGUGGUAUUAUUGGUUCUAUGCUCCCUGGAAUAUUACUGCUUUGUGAAAGUCCAGACUGAACGCAGCACCCUCUGUGUACCUAGUACAGUUAUAAACCUGGGUCUCUCACUACUUGAUAUUUUUGCAUUAGUUAAGACAGAAAUUUGAUAGCUCGGUUAGAGGGGAGGGGAAAUCUGCUGCUAGAAAUGUCUGAACUAAGUGCCAUACUCGUCUGGGUAAGAUUUGGGAAACAUAACCUCUGUACAUAAAAAAAAUCAGUUAAACAUCACAUAGUAGACAGCCAUUAAAUUAUAAAAAAAAUUAAUUUAUGAAGAAAGACCUUUUGUACAGAUUGAAAAAAAAGAUUUUCAUAGAGAUAUCUAUAUGAUCAAGAGAGUUAAUUUUUUAUUUUUGUUUUACUAGUGCCACAGACUUGCCAGUGGUAACUUAUUUGUCCGGUUCAAGAUAACUCUGUAGUUUUCUUUCCUAGGACUUGUUGUUAAACGCCAAAAGACAUUUUUGAACUGUACAUUUGAUCAGAUUGUUAGCUUUUCUGUUUUAUUUCUUUUGAGAACCUUUGAAUAAAAAACAUCUGAAAUUUUA